RNAcentral lists this ribosomal RNA (418 nucleotides) under uncultured bacterium. Its description in RNAcentral is "bacterial SSU rRNA". It matches the Rfam family "Bacterial small subunit ribosomal RNA", at positions 42 to 466 of the family's 1533-position model. The record is from RNAcentral.
UCAGGCCUAACACAUGCAAGUCGAACGGUAGAGGGGCAACCCUUGAGAGUGGCGAACGGGUGAGUAAUGCAUCGGAACGUGCCCAGUAGUGGGGGAUAGCCCGGCGAAAGCCGGAUUAAUACCGCAUGAGACCUGAGGGUGAAAGCGGGGGAUCGCAAGACCUCGCGCUAUUGGAGCGGCCGAUGUCAGAUUAGCUAGUUGGUGGGGUAAAGGCCUACCAAGGCGACGAUCUGUAGCUGGUCUGAGAGGACGACCAGCCACACUGGGACUGAGACACGGCCCAGACUCCUACGGGAGGCAGCAGUGGGGAAUUUUGGACAAUGGGCGCAAGCCUGAUCCAGCCAUGCCGCGUGCGGGAAGAAGGCCUUCGGGUUGUAAACCGCUAUUGUCAGGGAAGAAAUCUUCGGGCUAAUACCCC